RNAcentral lists this non-coding RNA (24 nucleotides) under Arabidopsis thaliana (thale cress). Lineage: Eukaryota; Viridiplantae; Streptophyta; Magnoliopsida; Brassicales; Brassicaceae. The record is from RNAcentral.
AUCGUGGAAACCUCUUGGUCUAAU